GUUCAACGGCCGCGGUAUACUGACCGUGCAAAGGUAGCGCAAUCACUUGUUUCGUAAAUUGAAACCCGUAUGAACGGCAUAACGAAGGCUUAACUGUCUCCCCUUUCAGGUCAGUGAAAUUGAUCUGCCCGUGAAGAAGCGGACAUGAACAUACAAGACGAGAAGACCCUUUGGAGCUUAAGACCUAAACCAACUGUAUAAUAGACUAACUAAAUUAGAUUAACCAAACCUUAUACUGGGCCACGUCUUCGGUUGGGGCGACCACGGAGAAAAACAAAGCCUCCGCGCAGAAAGGGAAAAAAUUCCCUCAGCCAAGAGAGACAUCUCUAAGCCACAGAAUAUUUGACUAAAAGACCCGGGCCAACGCCCGAUUAACGAACCAAGUUACCCUAGGGAUAACAGCGCAAUCCUCUUCUAGAGCCCUUAUCAACAAGAGGGUUUACGACCUCGAUGUUGGAUCAGGACGUCCUAAUGGUG
Molecule: ribosomal RNA, 477 nt
Filed under: Sternarchorhamphus muelleri
Lineage: Eukaryota; Metazoa; Chordata; Actinopteri; Gymnotiformes; Apteronotidae
Description: partial 16S ribosomal RNA
Rfam family: Bacterial large subunit ribosomal RNA
Source: RNAcentral